AGUAGUGAAAUUUGGUUGUUAUUUUGUAAUUAGUAAUAGAAAUUGAAGCUAAAAAAGUUUAAUUAUAAACUAGGAUUAGAUACCCUAUUAUUUAAAAAAGAAUUUUUUACACUAGAUUAGUAGUAGAUAUAUACUUAAAAAUUAAAAAAUUUGGCGGUAAUUUAGUCUUUUCAGAGGAAUUUGUUUUUUAAUCGAUAAAACUCGUAAUAUCUUACUUAAGCUUGUAUACCAUCAUUAUUAGUUAAUCUUUGAGGAUGUUAUUUACUAAAAUUAUUUUUAAUAAAUAAAUUAGAUCAUGGUGCAGUUUAUAGAUAAGGUAAAAUGAAUUACAAUAAAUUAAUUUAUAUGAAUUAAUAAUUAUGAAAGAGGAUUUGAUUGUAUGUAAGUUUAAUAAGCUUAAAAGAUAUAGGCUCUAAAUUAUGUACAUAUCGCCCGUCGCUUUC
This 443-nucleotide ribosomal RNA is filed under the name Xenograpsus testudinatus. RNAcentral's name for it is "partial 12S small subunit ribosomal RNA". The record is from RNAcentral. Lineage: Eukaryota; Metazoa; Arthropoda; Malacostraca; Decapoda; Xenograpsidae.